RNAcentral lists this ribosomal RNA (252 nucleotides) under uncultured bacterium. RNAcentral describes it as "partial 16S ribosomal RNA". It matches the Rfam family "Bacterial small subunit ribosomal RNA", at positions 525 to 776 of the family's 1533-position model. The record is from RNAcentral.
ACGGAAGGUGCGAGCGUUAAUCGGAAUUACUGGGCGUAAAGCGCGCGUAGGCGGCUGUGUAAGUCGGAUGUGAAAUCCCCAGGCUCAACCUGGGAACUGCAUUCGAUACUGCACAGCUCGAGUUCGGUAAAGGAAAGUGGAAUUCCGGGUGUAGCGGUGAAAUGCGUAGAUAUCCGGAAGAACACCGGUGGCGAAGGCGACUUUCUGGGCCGGCACUGACGCUAAGGCGCGAAAGCGUGGGGAGCAAACAGG